Hippocampus comes (tiger tail seahorse) is the source of this 357-nucleotide long non-coding RNA. RefSeq lists it as uncharacterized. The record is from RefSeq and is a predicted model, not a curated record. The transcript is spliced from 3 exons. NCBI's taxonomy places the organism in Eukaryota, Metazoa, Chordata, Actinopteri, Syngnathiformes, Syngnathidae.
UAAUCCCAGUGCCAGGGUGAUUUUGUCAUCCACUAAUUAUCAGUUUGUCUUUGCAGAUGGCAGCGUACUCAGUCUCUACUUCUACUACCUGAUCAAUCUAAACAUCAUGACAGUCAAAGCUAAGAUUUCCGCAUCCACGGACCUCACCACAGCGAUCAGUGCAGGGGAGCUGGUCAAAUCGGAGACACUUCUCAGCUGUCUGUAUUCCAACGAUCAUGGAACAGAAACACCCAAUCCAGCCAACCGAUAUCAAUUUGAUAAAGUUGGGAUAGGUUCUUUUGCCGACUAUGUGGAGGAGCUGGGUCAUCCCUACAAGUGGGUUCAGAAUCUUGGAGGAUUAAAUUUUCCCAGUGAUAC